CAGGAGCCAUGGGGUAGACCACUAGGAGGCUUAAAUAAGGCUGGUAAGAUCUGCAUACCAGAGGAGCCUUAUAUAAGUAUGAAACGAUCAAACAGAAGCAUGGAACAGCCAGACCCAAGAACCAAAAGAAAGAAGGGGAAGAAGACUUCCUGUCAACCCAAGACCAGGCACAGCGGCAAGGUGCAGAAGGAAGCCAAGAAGACAAAAAGACCCCCUCAAAGGAAUGUGAGAAACAAACCGCCUCAGUCAUCCCCUUCCUGUUCGAGAAUGCCUCACAGAAGAGUAAGGCCAAUGAUAUUCAUCUGCUACCACAAGCUGAACAAGACACCAAGUGAAAAUGAGCAGAGCGGGAACGAGAAACACUGGAAACUCCAACCAUUCCAAAUAACAUCUUGUGUGGCCAGUAAAUGCAGAGCCUGGGCCAGAAACCUAGAAUCAGCUAUGGCAUAUUCUGAAGUGGCUACAGAGAACUGUUCAGACACCUAGGGGCCAGAUCUAGACCAACAGGGUACACAGACGUUGAUAAAAAUGAAAACAAGUUGUGAAAAGGA
Long non-coding RNA from Herpailurus yagouaroundi (jaguarundi), 551 nucleotides. RefSeq lists it as uncharacterized. The transcript has 2 exons. The record is from RefSeq and is a predicted model, not a curated record. NCBI's taxonomy places the organism in Eukaryota, Metazoa, Chordata, Mammalia, Carnivora, Felidae.